This is a long non-coding RNA of Silurus meridionalis, 1287 nucleotides long. RefSeq lists it as uncharacterized. The record is from RefSeq and is a predicted model, not a curated record. The transcript is spliced from 5 exons. NCBI's taxonomy places the organism in Eukaryota, Metazoa, Chordata, Actinopteri, Siluriformes, Siluridae.
UCUGGGGUUUUUCUGUGUAACAUAGCAACUAUAGUAAACAAACCAGCGGCUAAUAAUCACAAGGCAAAAAGUGUAUUCAUUUUGCUCGCGGCUCGUUGAAAGUUAGUUUCUCUCUCUUCUUCACUCCUUGCAGCUCAUUGAAAGUAAUAAACCCACAAAUGGCCACAGUUAAUCAAGGUGGUGAUGGACCAUGGAAUACUACAGUAGAAAGGAUAGUCAUAAGGACACACAUGGAAAUGGGAGAUGCUCCUCCUAGAAUCAAUGCAACUGAUGUUACUGCCAACAGGCUCAAUAAUGUAAUCAGAUUUCAGCUCAAUCCAGACGUAUAUGAUGUUAUAGCCAUCAGGCAGAAUCGUAACAUCAGACCCAGACGCAUAGUCUUUGAACGAGAUGUAGCUAUUGGGCAAUUACUUCCACUAUUAUUAGACUUUAAACACCACCCCCUCUGUUAAGUCUUAUAACAAAAUUGUUAGAUCAGUUUUUAUAAAAGUCAUGAUUUAGUAAUACAGAAAACUUACUCAAAUUACGUCGUCAUGGCGUUUUACGGAUUCUUUCAUCCCGUUGUACUUCACCUUCAUGGUACCGUAAACAUCCUGGUACUUUUCCCACUCCUAAAAUACAGCCAUAGAACAGAAAAGCUUUAAACUUUACAUCCAUUCAAUACAAAAUAAUCUCAGCAUCUACAACUACAAAUUAAAUUUGAGAUAGAAUAAAAGUUAAUGUAGCAUGUGGAGGAACUCAUCAUGGCUUAAUGUUAAUACAUUCUCUUCUUACUGCCAUUAACCUGUUGCACUUCCUGUUAGUCUGAAGAAGUUCUGCCUCUUUCAGCUCAGCUGAGGCCUACACUUAGUCCAUGUCUGAUACCAGUUUGUAGAUCACACCGGUACACUGGACACCACGUCCUUCCUCUUCUUCUCCUCUGCCUCGCUCAAAGAAUCCUAAAAGUGCACCGACCAAAUGCUGUCAGAAUUUUUGUCUUUUACACACACAUUCACACAUUCCUUAAGACUGAGCAAAAUCCAGAGAGACAAAAACAUACUAAAGAAGAAGAACAAAUACAUCAGUUCUGCACAGAGCCUGAGAAUUAUUCAUAUCAUAUUACAAAAACAAUCAUUGAAUGCUACAAUGUUCUGAAAAGAUCUCAUUACAUCCCAACAUUCGAGGGAAACCUCUGUUGAGAACAUUGAAGUAACAUUGCUAAAGUUUCUCAAACACAUUUAGCAAUUUAUUGAUUAUUUUAAAAGCAAAAGGAAACCUGCAAUAAAGAUUUACAAUCCUAUAAUAAUC